RNAcentral lists this long non-coding RNA (2642 nucleotides) under Nicotiana tabacum (common tobacco). RNAcentral describes it as "long non-coding RNA (NTAB_LNC004340)". Lineage: Eukaryota; Viridiplantae; Streptophyta; Magnoliopsida; Solanales; Solanaceae. The record is from RNAcentral.
AGCCACCACCCCCAAAUAACACCUCCCAGACCAUCUUCCUCUCCACGCCUCCCAACCCCGUCUUCUUCGUUUCCCUACCCAACAAACGACCUCAACCAGCGGUGCCACAUCUCCCUCCUUCAUCUCCAAUCACGAACUAGACGACUCCACCCAGCCCCGUUGCCGAACAGCCACCAAAUUCGCGGCAUGUCUAGCCUAAAAAUCAUGCACACACACACGUAAACAUAGGGAGAGAACAAGAGUGAAAAGAUGAACUAAUUUUCUCAUCUCUAAUCCACAUAGAGGAAACGGAUAGAAACAGGGGCAGGGUUAGCAUUUCUCUUUGCUCUAUGGAUUGUUUACAUUGCUUUAACCUUGCCGCGAGACUAGCUUUUGCGUUCACUAGUGGCGAGAUGGAGUUUGUUUGAGUCAGAGUUGAAUUCACUGAUUUUGAGUCGCUGUCGAGGUUUGGAGUCACAUUUUGCAGAAUCGUUGUUUCCGGUUUGAGGUCCGUUUUGCAUCUGUGGUUCAAAUUUCAAUUGUGUCACUUGUUGUAGCCAUUUUGGCGUCCAGAAGUUGUGAAGUUGAAAACUCUCAUUAAUUGGCAACACUAGGUUCAAUUCUUUCCUAUCUCUUUUAAUUUCAUAUACAUGGUUUUGAUGAUUGAGUUGAUAUGGUUUGAUUUGUGCAUAAGUUUGAAUCUGUAUAGCCGAUACAUGGGUUUUGGUUGCUCUGUAAAGGAAAAUGUCCUCUUCUUACUUUACUGUCAUGUUGUAAAUAUGGACAUUUACCUUAUAGUGCAAAGGUAGAAUUGCAAUCUUCAUGUUCUACUUGAUUUAGGAAAAUCAAGUUAGAUACCGUAAAGAUAAGACUUGCGCCAUUGGUAUUCCAAAUGAUAUUCAAAUUAAGUUGCUGGCCAAAUACUUGUUAUAGGAAAUGUUGGAGUGAUUUUAUGUCUUUUCCUAGAACAUGUUUUCUGGAUAGUUUACACCCUUACUGCGCAAAUGCUGGUGGAUUGAACGUAGUUAAGAAGCUGCAGUUAUAGAUUUUUUUUCUUUCUUUCGUAGUUGCUCUCCGCGGAUUUGAAGUUGUUCAUUUAGCUAUUUGCCCGUAUGUUUGCUCGAAUUAGUUAUAGCUGGACAUAAUGGCUUGCUAUUCAUCAACUGAUUUUUAAUAACAACACUAGGAUAGUGUGUCACUAAUUCAGCAAGUAGACAAUUAAAAAAUAGAAAAUGAGAUUGGUAAUGGAAGUUGCACUAACUAAUUAAUUAAUAAGGGAGGGGACACUUGUAACGAGAAAGGCACUGGUUGAUUUUAGGGGAUUGAAAUGGGCAUUACUAGUAAAAUAAGAAGGCACUAGGGUAGUGGGAUAAUUAAAAACUGAAAAGAUAAGUUGUUAGUGGCAAAUGCACUAAUGGAAUGCCCACUUUAGAGAGCUGGAAAUCAGAAUAAAAGGGAGGUAGAACACAAGAAAAAGGGAGCAAUCUGAAUUUGUAAGAAAAAAAACCUGAAAAAUAGAGAGGUCAAGGGAGCUUAACAAUCUGACGGAGAGCAAUAGAGAGGGACAACCUUGGACAUUUUGAAAACCUGAGUGAGGAAAUUGAGAAAUCCAGAAGAAAUGAUAUAAAAGGGUAGAAAACUGUAUUGUUGGUUUAAGUUUGAUUGUCUGAUCUCUCUUAGCUCACUCUUCUUGAACUGUUUUCAUCAAUUUGAAGAGCUAAAUUUAGUUUGCAUUCAAGUAAUUGGACCCUGCUUGGUGUGGUUUUGUUGAUUGCGUUCCAUUGAUAUAUUGUUGGUUCUAAAUUAUGAGUGUUAAGUUGGUCCUCUUUAGUUAUUCCUGGGUUCAUUUGUGCUUGCUGAACAUUGAUUCUUGUUGCUGCUGAGUCUGCUAAAUCUCACCUCCCUCUCUGUUUUCCUCUUUCCAAGUAUAUCUUGAUCCUAUGGAUAUCAUUUGAGGUGUAAACUUGAAUCAUGAAUUAAGAAUGAGAAAGCUAGUCUACACCCUUUCUUCUUUUAAUAUACUAUCACUAUGUACUUUUGAGUUUUCAAUUAGUGUAUUCUGCCCAAAAGGGGGUUUGUAAUUAAGAGUUAAAUCACACAGUUUUGUGUAACUACUUUCCUCCUUAUUGUGACUGUUGGACGCUAUAGCUACUCUAUAAACUCGUUGUUUUAGAGUUUUGUUCAAUCAAGUAUUCUGCUUAAAUCUUAUGAGUUUAGGAAAUGAAUGAAUAUUUUCAUGAUGGUAUGAUUGUUGUAGUGAAGUUAAGUUGUGGUUUAUGGUUUCAUUUCAUUUUCUUGUUAAUGGAUUUAUCAUGCUAUCCAUGGGUCUCCCUCUUUUAAUUUCAUUUGGUCUAAUAUUGCUUGUUUGUUGCAUUGAAGUACCGCACCCAAGGUGAAAGGAAUGACUUUUUCCUAUAUAUUUUUUAUUUGACUAGUACAUGAGAUUUAAUAUUUUCUAGAAGUGUUUAAAUGUUGAUGGCAUGAAUUUCAGUGGACAAAACUCACUUCUCACCAUUGUAAACCGAUAUAUUUUCAUGGCAACCACAAGAAUCUGUUCUCAUGUGAAAAAAGGGAUUGGCAAAACUAAGAAGAAAGAAAGGAUUGAAGUUGUAUAGAGGUGAUUAAAAGCCUAGUCUCAUUUCUUUUGGCAUGAUCCAUACGAU